This 1264-nucleotide small RNA is filed under the name Arabidopsis thaliana (thale cress). Its description in RNAcentral is "ATSL031870". The record is from RNAcentral. Lineage: Eukaryota; Viridiplantae; Streptophyta; Magnoliopsida; Brassicales; Brassicaceae.
AUUGAAUUUUACUCAAAAACGUUAGCCAUGCCUUGUUAUCAAUCAAUCCGUCUCUUAUACUUGACCUACACAUGCUUUCAAAUCUACCAAUCCCUUUAACAUUCAUUAGUUCUGGAACGUGAAUCAAGCAAUGCAUCAUCAAUGAACUCAUUUGGCUAAGGUGAAGGUCAAGAGACAAAGAUGGUCCCUUACAGAAUAGGCUUAAGUAACAGGGGAUCCCUCAAGAAUGAUUGAGCUUUAGUAGAAUGCUAAAGGUAAGUCCCAAGUUAUGCAUACAGAGAUAAGAUCCCAUCUACCCAGAGUAUAACAAUGAAGUUCUAAUGGUAAUCCCAACUCCAGUCCCAACUUAACUCUACCCUUUGCACUCAUGAAUCUUUCAAACUCUUUUUCAUAUCAUUCUUUUCUUUUCUCUUAACUCUAGGAGAAGCUUUCUCAACACUCUGAUACAUCUAGCGGAUUUGGAUUUCUUUAACAACUAAAGUUCCUGUUUUUAAUCUUUAAAACCAAAGGCUUUUAACCCUUCUUCUUUAGCUAACAAGAACCUCAUUCUUUUCUUUAACAUUCCCAAAACCUUUACUAGAUUUUUUUUCUAACUUCUUUAGCUUACUUCCCCUAGAAUUCUUUCCCUUUCCUUAUCAACAAUGAAUUCACCCUUUUCUUUUAAACACAUCCCAACCCAUGAUAUAAGCGCCCACCUAAUCCUAUCCAGUCCGAAGAACGCGAACUAGAACUACAUGAGACACUAUCUUUGUCGUUACGAACCUAACACUUUCUACCAAGCUCAAUCGAAAUAAGACCUCACAAACACUCACAAGUGAUAUAGGGCUUGAAAGAAAGUUCAGGUUUGGGUUCGGGUUAACUGCUCUAAUAAGGAGAGUCAGCUACUUGGAUUAACAAGAGUGGUUAAAAUGAGUAAGAAAAUCCAAGUAUUUUAGGGUAUCCAUGUGUUCAAAUUCGAUGCCAAGACAUGAUAAUUCUAAAUCAGAUUCAAGUUCAAAUUGAUAGGGAAUGAUAUCAGAUCCUAAUAGUGUGGUCGAGUAGAGCAAUCUAGGCAUGGUGCAGUUUUACUUCAAUUUCAAUGACUACGCAUCAGACAACUAACAACGAGGGCAAUGAGCUUAUCUGGUGAACCAAAAUGCUUACAAAGCUAUCUCAUCAUUAUCCCCUAUGCAUAUGCAACAAUCCUAAACGAAACACUCUACACUCGAUCCUAAAUGCAAUGCAACUACAUGAGCACUCUAUUUUUGUGAAAUCAUUUUCUAAA